RNAcentral lists this ribosomal RNA (497 nucleotides) under uncultured bacterium. Its description in RNAcentral is "partial 16S ribosomal RNA". It matches the Rfam family "Bacterial small subunit ribosomal RNA", at positions 28 to 507 of the family's 1533-position model. The record is from RNAcentral.
GAUGAACGCUGGCGGCGUGCCUAAUACAUGCAAGUCGAGCGAACAGACGAGGAGCUUGCUCCUUUGACGUUAGCGGCGGACGGGUGAGUAACACGUAGGUAGCCUACCUAUAAGACUGGGAUAACUUCGGGAAACCGGAGCUAAUACCGGAUAAUAUUUCGAACCGCAUGGUUCGAUAGUGAAAGAUGGCUUUGCUAUCACUUAUAGAUGGACCUGCGCCGUAUUAGCUAGUUGGUAAGGUAACGGCUUACCAAGGCAACGAUACGUAGCCGACCUGAGAGGGUGAUCGGCCACACUGGAACUCAGACACGGUCCAGACUCCUACGGGAGGCAGCAGUAGGGAAUCUUCCGCAAUGGGCGAAAGCCUGACGGAGCAACGCCGCGUGAGUGAUGAAGGUCUUCGGAUCGUAAAACUCUGUUAUUAGGGAAGAACAAACGUGUAAGUAACUGUGCACGUCUUGACGGUACCUAAUCAGAAAGCCACGGCUAACUACGUG